UUUGGAGAGUUUGAUCCUGGCUCAGAUUGAACGCUAGCGGGAUGCCUUACACAUGCAAGUCGAACGGCAGCACGGACUUCGGUCUGGUGGCGAGUGGCGAACGGGUGAGUAAUGUAUCGGAACGUGCCCAGUAGCGGGGGAUAACUACGCGAAAGCGUAGCUAAUACCGCAUACGCCCUACGGGGGAAAGCAGGGGAUCGUAAGACCUUGCACUAUUGGAGCGGCCGAUAUCGGAUUAGCUAGUUGGUGGGGUAACGGCUCACCAAGGCGACGAUCCGUAGCUGGUUUGAGAGGACGACCAGCCACACUGGGACUGAGACACGGCCCAGACUCCUACGGGAGGCAGCAGUGGGGAAUUUUGGACAAUGGGGGAAACCCUGAUCCAGCCAUCCCGCGUGUGCGAUGAAGGCCUUCGGGUUGUAAAGCACUUUUGGCAGGAAAGAAACGUCAUGGGUUAAUACCCCGUGAAACUGACGGUACCUGCAGAAUAAGCACCGGCUAACUACGUGCCAGCA
This 515-nucleotide ribosomal RNA is filed under the name Achromobacter xylosoxidans. Its description in RNAcentral is "bacterial SSU rRNA". It matches the Rfam family "Bacterial small subunit ribosomal RNA", at positions 1 to 513 of the family's 1533-position model. The record is from RNAcentral. Lineage: Bacteria; Pseudomonadati; Pseudomonadota; Betaproteobacteria; Burkholderiales; Alcaligenaceae.